AGUAGUUCAGCUGGUUAGAGCGUCGGAUUGUGGUUCCGAAGGUCGUGGGUUCGAAUCCCACCU
Molecule: transfer RNA, 63 nt
Filed under: human gut metagenome
Also listed under: 1 other name
Rfam family: tRNA
About the family: Transfer RNA (tRNA) molecules are approximately 80 nucleotides in length. Their secondary structure includes four short double-helical elements and three loops (D, anti-codon, and T loops). Further hydrogen bonds mediate the characteristic L-shaped molecular structure. tRNAs have two regions of fundamental functional importance: the anti-codon, which is responsible for specific mRNA codon recognition, and the 3' end, to which the tRNAs corresponding amino acid is attached (by aminoacyl-tRNA synthetases). tRNAs cope with the degeneracy of the genetic code in two manners: having more than one tRNA (with a specific anti-codon) for a particular amino acid; and 'wobble' base-pairing, i.e. permitting non-standard base-pairing at the 3rd anti-codon position.
Source: RNAcentral